This 567-nucleotide long non-coding RNA is filed under the name Marmota monax (woodchuck). Lineage: Eukaryota; Metazoa; Chordata; Mammalia; Rodentia; Sciuridae. The record is from RNAcentral.
UUGCAAAUAAGGAAAGUGAGGCCAGAGAAGGGAAUAGGCUUCCCCAAUGUCAAACAUCAAAUCAGUGGCAAAUUUGAGCCUAGAACUUGGGUUUCCAGGUCAGGGAUUUUGUAUGACUUACAAAUCCCCAGGAAUGACUUACUGAAUCCCUUUCUAUGGAGUAUGGUCACAUUAUCUCAUUUAAUUCUCAAAGAGCUGAGGAAGUGGGCAUUGUUAUCUUCCUUACUUUGCAGGUAAGAAGGCAGGGCUCUGAGAGGUGGGGUGACUUGCCUAAGGUCACACAGCUAGCCAGAGGUAGCCCUGGUUUGACCCUAGGUGGUCUGGCUACAGAGCUCCCAGCCUCUGUGCAGUUGCCCAUAAGGGUGGCCUUGGGGGGUGGAGAUGGAGCCCCAGCUUUCCCACAGGUGCACACAGGCAGCUCUGAGAUUUCCGCUUGGCCCAGUCUGGGCCAUCAUUUCCCCACCUGAUACUACUCCCAAGGACAAGGCCUGGUGUGCGUCCUACAGCCCACACCUCACCAGCUGCGCCCCAAGGUUCAGUCCACAAUCCCAGAAGGCAGAACAUCCU